UACCUGCAGCUCGAGUGGUAACCGCUAUUAUUGGGCCUAAAGCGUCCGUAGCCGGUUUGGUAAAUAUCUGGGUAAAUCGUGAGGCUUAACUUCACGAAUUUCGGAUAGACUGCCAGACUUGGGAUCGGGGGAGGUCAGAGGUACUCCAGGGGUAGCGGUGAAAUGUUGUAAUCCUUGGAGGACCACCGGUGGCGAAGGCGUCUGACUAGAACGAGUCCGACGGUGAGGGACGAAGCCCUGGGGCGCAAACCGGAUUAGAUACCCGGGUAGUCCAGGGUGUAAACAAUGUGGGCUUUGUAUUGGAGGUCCCACGUGGGCGUCCAGUGCAGAAGAGAAGUUGUUAAGCCCACCGCCUGGGAAGUACGGUCGCAAGGCUGAAACUUAAAGGAAUUGGCGGGGAGCACAGCAACGGGAGGAGCGUGCGGUUU
Molecule: ribosomal RNA, 428 nt
Filed under: uncultured archaeon
Lineage: Archaea
Description: bacterial SSU rRNA
Rfam family: Archaeal small subunit ribosomal RNA
Source: RNAcentral